This is a non-coding RNA of Pelodiscus sinensis (Chinese soft-shelled turtle), 1096 nucleotides long. NCBI's taxonomy places the organism in Eukaryota, Metazoa, Chordata, Testudines, Trionychidae. The record is from RefSeq and is a predicted model, not a curated record.
AGGACAUAGGAGGAGGCCCCAGCAUAGUGUUUUUGAAGGUGCUCGAAAGUGAUGGUUUGCCAGUUCUCAUUCCACAUGAUGUUGCAGCAUAUACUGAGGUGGUGGUGUCAUACCUACCACAGAGCUCAACCGCAGCAUGCAGCCAGUUUUAAGGGGUUAAAGAGCUAACAAGAUCCAGAAGUUGGAAACUGAAGCCGAACAAAUUCAAUCUAAUAAUAAUGCACACAUUUUUAACAGACAACCACUGGAAGAGAUUAUUUAGGGAUGUGAUGGAUUAAUCAUCAUUUGAAGCUUUCAAUCUAUUGUAGAUGGCUUUCUAAACAUAGUUUAAAUUGAAAUUGAGUUGGAGGCAGAGUUUCCUUGGUGAGGUUAUUCAGCCUUUCUUAUGCAGAUUGGAGUAGGCCAUAAUGGUCCAUUCUGGGUUUACCAAUUUAUGAAUCAUCACCUACAAUGCGUACAUCCUCACUCUAAUUUCUAUUUCAGGUAAACCGAAUGUAUGUAUAACAGAAUGAAAGACUAACAUGAGAGAGAAAAGUUGGAACAAUCUAGCAGUACAACUGGAUGGAGAUAAUCAAAAGGGCAAACAGAAAUAUCAGGAUUUAUAAGUAGGGAGCACAGAGAACAAGUUGGAAAAAAAUAAUCUAAUACUACAGGGGCUUACUACUGUUAACAUUUACAAGACCAUGCGAAUGCAUAGUUUUCAGAUAACCUCUUUGAACUAAUACUAACCCUCAGGACUUUGGGACACAAACAAAUGGUAAAAUACAGUAAGUAAAAAGACAUAAGGCAAAAUAGUUCUAAAUUAGAGGAUGGUGAACUUUGAAAAUGUUAUCAAGGCAACAAUAAAAAAAAUGAACAUACUCUUGUUCAAGAAAUUAGACAAGACUUUUGCUAAACUCUUUCUCCCACCUCCAAAAAGAAAAGAAAACUAAAGAUUAGUACUAAAUAACUAAAUAUCAUCACCUAGUUAAUGUGAAGGGUUCCCAGAUUUUUUUUCAAAUAUCUGGGAACAAGAAGACAUACUAUCUAUAGACUAGUAUCAGAGGGGUAGCCGUGUUAGUCUGAAUCUGCAAAAGCGGCAAGGAGUCCUGUGGCA